This 119-nucleotide ribosomal RNA is filed under the name Pteropus alecto (black flying fox). The record is from RNAcentral. Lineage: Eukaryota; Metazoa; Chordata; Mammalia; Chiroptera; Pteropodidae.
GUCUACAGCCAUGCCAUCCUGAAUGUGCCCGAUCCCGUCUGAUCUCGGAAGCUAAGCAGGACUGGGCCUGCUUCAUACUUGGAUGGGAGACCACCUAGGAAGACCAGGUGCUGUAGGCG